Molecule: transfer RNA, 28 nt
Filed under: Ateles chamek (black spider monkey)
Lineage: Eukaryota; Metazoa; Chordata; Mammalia; Primates; Atelidae
Description: Ateles belzebuth chamek (Chamek spider monkey) partial tRNA-Pro
Source: RNAcentral
CAGGGGAUAGUUUAAGAUUAGAAUUUCA